UCCUGGUCAGUACCACUUUGUAAUAUAGACUGGUUGCCCACUGAAGCUAAGCAGGGUUGAGCCUGGUCAGUACCUGGAUGGGGGAGACCUUCUGGGAAAACUAGGUUGCUGCUGGAA
RNAcentral lists this ribosomal RNA (117 nucleotides) under Sinocyclocheilus anshuiensis. Lineage: Eukaryota; Metazoa; Chordata; Actinopteri; Cypriniformes; Cyprinidae. The record is from RNAcentral.